AUUGAACGCUGGCGGCAGGCCUAACACAUGCAAGUCGAGCGGAUGAAGGGAGCUUGCUCCUGGAUUCAGCGGCGGACGGGUGAGUAAUGCCUAGGAAUCUGCCUGGUAGUGGGGGAUAACGUCCGGAAACGGGCGCUAAUACCGCAUACGUCCUGAGGGAGAAAGUGGGGGAUCUUCGGACCUCACGCGAUCAGAUGAGCCUAGGUCGGAUUAGCUAGUUGGUGGGGUAAGGCCUACCAAGGCGACGAUCCGUAACGGGUCUGAGAGGAUGAUCAGUCACACUGGAACUGAGACACGGUCCAGACUCCUACGGGAGGCAGCAGUGGGGAAUAUUGGACAAUGGGCGAAAGCCUGAUCCAGCCAUGCCGCGUGUGUGAAGAAGGUCUUCGGAUUGUAAAGCACUUUAAGUUGGGAGGAAGGGCAGUAAGUUAAUCCCUUGCUGUUUUGACGUUACCAACAGAAUAAGCACCGGCUAACUUCGUG
This 483-nucleotide ribosomal RNA is filed under the name uncultured bacterium. RNAcentral's name for it is "partial 16S ribosomal RNA". It matches the Rfam family "Bacterial small subunit ribosomal RNA", at positions 30 to 507 of the family's 1533-position model. The record is from RNAcentral.